GACGAACGCUGGCGGCGUGCCUAAUACAUGCAAGUCGAACGCACAGUUUAUACCGUAGCUUGCUACACCAUAGACUGUGAGUUGCGAACGGGUGAGUAACGCGUAGGUAACCUGCCUGGUAGCGGGGGAUAACUAUUGGAAACGAUAGCUAAUACCGCAUAAUAUUAAUUAUUGCAUGAUAAUUAAAUGAAAGGUGCAAUUGCACCACUACCAGAUGGACCUGCGUUGUAUUAGCUAGUAGGUGAGGUAACGGCUCACCUAGGCGACGAUACAUAGCCGACCUGAGAGGGUGAUCGGCCACACUGGGACUGAGACACGGCCCAGACUCCUACGGGAGGCAGCAGUAGGGAAUCUUCGGCAAUGGACGAAAGUCUGACCGAGCAACGCCGCGUGAGUGAAGAAGGUUUUCGGAUCGUAAAGCUCUGUUGUAAGAGAAGAACGGGUGUGAGAGUGGAAAGUUCACACUGUGACGGUAUCUUACCAGAAAGGGACGGCUAACUACGUG
Molecule: ribosomal RNA, 505 nt
Filed under: uncultured bacterium
Lineage: Bacteria
Description: partial 16S ribosomal RNA
Rfam family: Bacterial small subunit ribosomal RNA
Source: RNAcentral